UUGCGCUGCCUGAAGAAAGCAGAGUUCUACGGCCGAGUGAGCAGCGACAACAUAACGGUCUUCCUCCGCCAUCUUCUUCCUACCAUUUCUCCAAGCUUCUACGUUUAUCCGGCUUCUACAUCAACUACAAAUCUCAUCAUCAUCUUCAUCUGCGUGGCUUCGUCGUUUUGUGUUUAUAAUACGUCGUACGUGUGCGAGAAACCGACAGCUGCAAUUAUCAACCGUGAAAAAUAAAGAACCUUCUUCUGGUGGAUGGACAGAGGAAACUUUCUGCUUCGCGAAGUAUACAACCAGAUGAAAAACCAACUAACCACUCCUGGCUGUGUUAUGGAGAUGACGGUGGCAGGUUGUUGGAAGUUGAAGAUGGUUCGAUCCCCAAGUGUUGCACGGGUGGUUGAUGUAGCAUAUACCACCCUUUGUGGAGUUUGAUACACGAUGAUCUGACUCGGUGUUACUGCUAUUGUACCGGCAACUAUAAAUGCACAAAUGUUAGCAAGAUGACCAUGAACAUUUUAUGUUAAAAAUCCUGGGCUAUAUAUCUUUGUAUAUUCAUACAUUCAAACAUACAUAAACGACUAUGAGCAUAAGCAGCAUAAGUUUGCCAAAAGUCUAACUUGCUAGGUAAUAUAUGUCUAUAAAAAAGAAGAAAAGGAUAACACAAAAGCCGUGAGAUGUUUCUUUGAAAGCUACAAUACCACUACAAAGUAUAGCAACUGCCUGAAUUCUGUUUCUUUCCACCUUUCAAUUUUAUUAAGACCACAUUGCCUAAAAAAAA
Pomacea canaliculata is the source of this 775-nucleotide long non-coding RNA. RefSeq lists it as uncharacterized. NCBI's taxonomy places the organism in Eukaryota, Metazoa, Mollusca, Gastropoda, Architaenioglossa, Ampullariidae. The transcript is spliced from 3 exons. The record is from RefSeq and is a predicted model, not a curated record.